UUGCCUCAGUAACGGCGAGUGAAGCGGCAACAGCUCAAAUUUUAAAGCCGGCGUCCUCGACGCCCGCGUUGUAAUUUGGAGAGGCAUCUUCGGUUUGGGCGCCAGCCUAUGUUCCUUGGAACAGGACGUCACAGAGGGUGAGAAUCCCGUGCUUGGCUGGCUGUCCCUCUCCAUGUGAAGUGUCUUCGACGAGUCGAGUUGUUUGGGAAUGCAGCUCAAAAUGGGUGGUAAAUUUCAUCUAAAGCUAAAUAUUGGCGGGAGACCGAUAGCGCACAAGUAGAGUGAUCGAAAGAUGAAAAGCACUUUGAAAAUAGAGUUAAAAAGUACGUGAAAUUGUUGAAAGGGAAGCGCUUGAGACCAGACUCGGUCGAGGACGAUCAGCGGCCCUUCUGGGCCGUGCACUCGUCCUCGGUUCGGGCCAGCAUCGGUUGAGACGGCGGGAUAAAGGCCCGGGGAAUGUGGCUCCUCUCGGGGAGUGUUAUAGCCUCGGGCGCAAUGCCGCCAGCCUCGACCGAGGACCGCGCUCUUUUGCUAGGAUGCUGGCGUAAUGGUCUUCAGCGACCCGUCUUGAAACACGGACCAAGGAGUCUAACAUCUAUGCGAGUGUUUGGGUGUCAAACCCUUGCGCGUAAUGAAAGUGAACGGAGGUGGGAACCCCUCCUCUGGGGGGGCGCACCAUCGACCGAUCCUGAUGUCUUCGGAUGGAUUUGAGUAGGAGCAUAGCUGUUGGGACCCGAAAGAUGGUGAACUAUGCCUGAAUAGGGUGAAGCCAGAGGAAACUCUGGUGGAGGCUCGCAGCGGUUCUGACGUGCAAAUCGAUCGUCAAAUUUGGGUAUAGGGGCGAAAGACUAAUCGAACCAUCUAGUAGCUGGUUCCUG
Molecule: ribosomal RNA, 878 nt
Filed under: Discina ancilis
Lineage: Eukaryota; Fungi; Ascomycota; Pezizomycetes; Pezizales; Discinaceae
Description: Gyromitra perlata partial 28S ribosomal RNA
Rfam family: Eukaryotic large subunit ribosomal RNA
Source: RNAcentral